CGCCUCUUGACUUAUAAUAAGAGGUCCAGCCUGCCCAGUGAAUUUUAAACGGCCGCGGUAUCCUAACCGCGCGAAGGUAGCAUAAUCACUUGUUCUUUAAAUGGGGACUCGUAUCAACGGCAUCACGAGGGUUUUACUGUCUCCUCUUUUUGAUCAGUGAAAUUGAUCUUCCCGUGAAGAAGCGGGAAUAUUUUUAUAAGACGAGAAGACCCCAUGGAGCUUUAAACCAAAUAACAACUUAACCUCUUAUCCCACAAUAAAUUUAAGCCCUGUUAUAAGGUUUUUGGUUGGGGUGACCGCGGAGUAAAGCACAUCCUCCACGACGGAAAGAACAUAAUCUUUAUUUAAGAACCACACUUCUAGAAAUUAGUAUACUAACGUUUACUGACCCGACAAUCGAUCAACGGACCAAGUUACCCUGGGGAUAACAGCGCAAUCUACUUCAAGAGCUCAUAUCGACAAGUAGGCUUACGACCUCGAUGUUGGAUCAGGGUAUCCCGGUGGUGCAGCCGCUACCGAAGGUUCGUUUGUUCAACGAUUAAACCCU
Molecule: ribosomal RNA, 547 nt
Filed under: Polypedates sp. USNM 595039
Lineage: Eukaryota; Metazoa; Chordata; Amphibia; Anura; Rhacophoridae
Also listed under: 1 other name
Description: partial 16S ribosomal RNA
Rfam family: Bacterial large subunit ribosomal RNA
Source: RNAcentral